UUCAGUACAACUAGUAUAGAUCAUUCAUGUGACUGCAACUAUUAUCUACAUUGGUGUUUGUCAGCCACCAUUAUGAAGAUGUCGAAAGAUCACCAGUAACAAGCUCAUAAUGAUCUGAAUAUGGUAAAGGCCUAUAACUUAAAAGGUAAUACAUAAUUCUGAACGAUUGUUUUUGUUGGCUUUUGAAGGAUGUGUUGGUAAAUGGAGCUCCACAUUAAAUAGAACUAGCACCCAGAUUAAAUUCAUCUAGCUAAAAAAAGGCUGAUCACCUUCCAUUGCCAUGCAUUUUUAAGUCUCAAAUAAUUGAUGGCACAAGUUUGAUAAAACUGGUGAAAAGCUCUCGAAUUUGUCAAUUUUAGGCAAAUAUUAAACUGCUAGACCUAGUACCCUUUUUUAAAUUUAUUUAUAAUAGUGGCUGCAUGGUGCUGGUAGUCUUAAUAAACAAUACUUCUGAUUAAAUCUGGGUUGGGGGGGGGGGUGUCUGUUGCAUUCCCCCUCCCAAUCAAAACCUCUUUAGGUCAGUAUUCCACCCAAAUUAUCUUGCACAUUUGAGGGAUUGCCUUUGAAAUUAUAAUAUUGACCAAUAAAACCUUGACUUGACAAAAGGAAAGUUAGCAAAACAGUCUAACACUUGGAUUUCUUGUUGUCUUGUGAGAAAAUAUGCAUAAGGCACCGACCAUGAAUCGCAGAACCUCGGCUGUUAGCCACAGCAGAUAAAUAAUCUGCCAGGGUAUAGCGUAGAAAUCCAAGGCAUUGUGUUCUAUUAAGCCUCAAAUAGUCAAUGGCACAAGUUUGAUAAAACUGCUCUUGUGACCCUUUGCCAUUUUGUUAAGUUUUAGACAUAAAUUUGAUAAAUUUGCUGGACCUUCCCCCUGUGAAUUUUAGUUUUGGGCUCAAAUUGGCUAAAACUGCUAGUCUUACCCCUUGUGUUUUUUAAACUGUAGGCCAAAUUUGAUAAAACUGCUGGACUCGCCACUUGUGAUUGUUCAAUUUGAGGCUAAAAUUCAGUAAACCUGCUGGACUUUAUACCCCUUGCUAUUUUAAAAUUUUAGAUGCAAACUUAUUUUUUUCUUUUAAAUGUUUUUCUUUGUAGUGUCAUGAAGACUUCAAGAGAUCACCAGUUACAAGCUCAUAUGAAUCUGAAUAUGAUGUAGGCCUAUACCUAAGAAGUGUUUGUCAGCCACCAUUAUGAAGAUGUCGAAAGAUCACCAGUAACAAGCUCAUAAUGAUCUGAAUAUGGUAAAGGCCUAUAACUUAAAAGUGUCAUGAAGACUUCAAGAGAUCACCAGUUACAAGCUCAUAUGAAUCUGAAUAUGAUGUAGGCCUAUACCUAAGAAGUGUUUGUCAGCCACCAUUAUGAAGAUGUCGAAAGAUCACCAGUAACAAGCUCAUAAUGAUCUGAAUAUGGUAAAGGCCUAUAACUUAAAAGGUAAUACAUAAUUCUGAACGAUUGUUUUUGUUGGCUUUUGAAGGAUGUGUUGGUAAAUGGAGCUCCACAUUAAAUAGAACUAGCACCCAGAUUAAAUUCAUCUAGCUAAAAAGGCUGAUCACCUUCCAUUGCCAUGCAUUUUUAAGUCUCAAAUAAUUGAUGGCACAAGUUUGAUAAAACUGGUGAAAAGCUCUCGAAUUUUUCAAUUUUAGGCAAAUAUUAAACUGCUAGACCUAGUACCCUUUUUUAAAUUUAUUUAUAAUAGUGGCUGCAUGGUGCUGGUAGUCUUAAUAAACAAUACUUCUGAUUAAAUCUGGGUUGGGGGGGUGUCUGUUGCAUUCCCCCUCCCAAUCAAAACCUCUUUAGGUCAGUAUUCCACCCAAAUUAUCUUGCACAUUUGAGGGAUUGCCUUUGAAAUUAUAAUUGACCAAUAAAACCUCGACUUGACAAAAGGAAAGUUAGCAAAACAGUCUAACACUUGGAUUUCUUGUUGUCUUGUGAGAAAAUAUGCAUAAGGCACCGACCAUGAAUCGCAGAACCUCGGCUGUUAGCCACAGCAGAUAAAUAAUCUGCCAGGGUAUAGCGUAGAAAUCCCAGAAUGCUUUAGUUUCCAAUAGCCAACUAUCCAAAUACAAUGAGAAACUAUAGUGCAGCCUGUCUUGUCUGCCACGUUUGUAUAACAAACAGACAACAAAAGUCCUGGAACUGGGGAUAUGGCAAAAGGGGGAUAAGGGGUGCAUUAUUUCUGCUACUUUCUGUCCCUCUUUUUAAUGGGUGAAAAGUGUAUCACCACAGGGGCAUACCCGUGCAAGAUACACAAAGAAAUAUCUAGGUAUCUUCGCUCCACACAUGGAUAAAUGAUUACCUGUGAGGGCAGAGUUGUUUCUUGUGAUUGAUUAGCUUACAUAUUUGGGGGCACAGACUGUAUAC
This is a long non-coding RNA of Asterias rubens (European starfish), 2359 nucleotides long. RefSeq lists it as uncharacterized. NCBI's taxonomy places the organism in Eukaryota, Metazoa, Echinodermata, Asteroidea, Forcipulatida, Asteriidae. The record is from RefSeq and is a predicted model, not a curated record. The transcript is spliced from 5 exons.